RNAcentral lists this non-coding RNA (77 nucleotides) under Aurantiochytrium limacinum. Lineage: Eukaryota; Bigyra; Thraustochytrida; Thraustochytriidae. The record is from RNAcentral.
AAAAAGGAAAAAAAAAAAAAAACUAUAUAAAAAAAAAGCUAUUCCUGUUUGCUUGAAAGAUGUUUGCAAGCGUGUAU